This 1530-nucleotide ribosomal RNA is filed under the name Salmonella enterica subsp. enterica. RNAcentral describes it as "bacterial SSU rRNA". It matches the Rfam family "Bacterial small subunit ribosomal RNA". Lineage: Bacteria; Pseudomonadati; Pseudomonadota; Gammaproteobacteria; Enterobacterales; Enterobacteriaceae. The record is from RNAcentral. RNAcentral also lists the same sequence under 1 other name.
AGAGUUUGAUCAUGGCUCAGAUUGAACGCUGGCGGCAGGCCUAACACAUGCAAGUCGAACGGUAACAGGAAGCAGCUUGCUGCUUCGCUGACGAGUGGCGGACGGGUGAGUAAUGUCUGGGAAACUGCCUGAUGGAGGGGGAUAACUACUGGAAACGGUGGCUAAUACCGCAUAACGUCGCAAGACCAAAGAGGGGGACCUUCGGGCCUCUUGCCAUCAGAUGUGCCCAGAUGGGAUUAGCUUGUUGGUGAGGUAACGGCUCACCAAGGCGACGAUCCCUAGCUGGUCUGAGAGGAUGACCAGCCACACUGGAACUGAGACACGGUCCAGACUCCUACGGGAGGCAGCAGUGGGGAAUAUUGCACAAUGGGCGCAAGCCUGAUGCAGCCAUGCCGCGUGUAUGAAGAAGGCCUUCGGGUUGUAAAGUACUUUCAGCGGGGAGGAAGGUGUUGUGGUUAAUAACCACAGCAAUUGACGUUACCCGCAGAAGAAGCACCGGCUAACUCCGUGCCAGCAGCCGCGGUAAUACGGAGGGUGCAAGCGUUAAUCGGAAUUACUGGGCGUAAAGCGCACGCAGGCGGUCUGUCAAGUCGGAUGUGAAAUCCCCGGGCUCAACCUGGGAACUGCAUUCGAAACUGGCAGGCUUGAGUCUUGUAGAGGGGGGUAGAAUUCCAGGUGUAGCGGUGAAAUGCGUAGAGAUCUGGAGGAAUACCGGUGGCGAAGGCGGCCCCCUGGACAAAGACUGACGCUCAGGUGCGAAAGCGUGGGGAGCAAACAGGAUUAGAUACCCUGGUAGUCCACGCCGUAAACGAUGUCUACUUGGAGGUUGUGCCCUUGAGGCGUGGCUUCCGGAGCUAACGCGUUAAGUAGACCGCCUGGGGAGUACGGCCGCAAGGUUAAAACUCAAAUGAAUUGACGGGGGCCCGCACAAGCGGUGGAGCAUGUGGUUUAAUUCGAUGCAACGCGAAGAACCUUACCUGGUCUUGACAUCCACGGAAGUUUUCAGAGAUGAGAAUGUGCCUUCGGGAACCGUGAGACAGGUGCUGCAUGGCUGUCGUCAGCUCGUGUUGUGAAAUGUUGGGUUAAGUCCCGCAACGAGCGCAACCCUUAUCCUUUGUUGCCAGCGAUUAGGUCGGGAACUCAAAGGAGACUGCCAGUGAUAAACUGGAGGAAGGUGGGGAUGACGUCAAGUCAUCAUGGCCCUUACGACCAGGGCUACACACGUGCUACAAUGGCGCAUACAAAGAGAAGCGACCUCGCGAGAGCAAGCGGACCUCAUAAAGUGCGUCGUAGUCCGGAUUGGAGUCUGCAACUCGACUCCAUGAAGUCGGAAUCGCUAGUAAUCGUGGAUCAGAAUGCCACGGUGAAUACGUUCCCGGGCCUUGUACACACCGCCCGUCACACCAUGGGAGUGGGUUGCAAAAGAAGUAGGUAGCUUAACCUUCGGGAGGGCGCUUACCACUUUGUGAUUCAUGACUGGGGUGAAGUCGUAACAAGGUAACCGUAGGGGAACCUGCGGUUGGAUCACCU